RNAcentral lists this ribosomal RNA (200 nucleotides) under uncultured bacterium. RNAcentral describes it as "partial 16S ribosomal RNA". It matches the Rfam family "Bacterial small subunit ribosomal RNA", at positions 30 to 242 of the family's 1533-position model. The record is from RNAcentral.
AUUGAACGCUGGCGGCAGGCCUAACACAUGCAAGUCGAGCGGGGUUUUCGGACCUAGCGGCGGACGGGAGAGUAAUGCGCAGGAAGCUGCCCGAUAGAGGGGGAUACCAGUUGGAAACGACUGUUAAUACCGCAUAAUGUCUACGGACCAAAGUGUGGGACCUUCGGGCCACAUGCUAUCGGAUGCGCCUACGUGGGAUU